Molecule: ribosomal RNA, 74 nt
Filed under: uncultured Prevotella sp.
Lineage: Bacteria; Pseudomonadati; Bacteroidota; Bacteroidia; Bacteroidales; Prevotellaceae
Description: partial 16S ribosomal RNA
Source: RNAcentral
CGGGCUUGAACUGUAGGCGAACGAUCUAGAGAUAGUGAGGCCCUUCGGGGCGCCUACGGAGGUGCUGCAUGGUU